AUAGAUCUUCAUGUUUGUGUCUUUUGGGAAUGAGGAGAGAGCUGGGAUUUGCAGCUCUUAGUCCAAUGUUUACCAGUAUUAAACCAGAGUAAAGUUAGUUUGCAGGGGAUUCACUCCAGAUUUAAGCUUUGUUAGAUGGCAUUUGCUCCUUUUUUUUUUUUUUCUUUUUACAUCAGAAUUUGCUCUUUUUCCUUUACCUUUUUAAUGUAGAAGUUUAAUGAGGACAAGUUCCCCAGAACCCUUCUCCUCAAAUAUCUUUCUUUGCAUCCAGAACCUGCUGCUGCAUUCCCAAGGGUCAGAUAACAACCUGCACUAAAAGCAUCCUUGAGGAUCUGUUCAUUCUUUUCAUCAGGAGCUGCUUUAUCCAUCCCUGAUAUUCACCCCACUCAAGAUGAGAAGUGGCUGCUUUUUAAGGAUUGGAAAGAGCACUGCUCUUCUCUUGGCUGGUGUGAAUGCACCUCCUCAGGUGAAACCCUGGCUUGAACUUGACCUGCCCAGAUUCCAGAAGGCAAAGGAAUCCCAGGAGAGGAGAAGGAAAGCAUUUCCUAAACCAGACCAACAGCACAGCACACUCAGCUUGGGCUCAGAUUCCUUUCCCUACCCAGAGAGUGACCUGUCACCCAAAGCUGCUGGUGCUUUAGACCAUUUGAUCUGGCCAUCAUGGCAUUGUGGGCAUGCUCCAGGCUUUUGCUUUCCCUGGGGCUGAAAACACACCCAUUUCAAAACAAACCUAAACCAUAGGUGGGACCCUUCUGUGCCUGCCUGCCAUCCAUCCUCCCUUCUCCCUUCCCACCUGCCUCUUUCCUUCACAUUUCUUCAAGAAGAUUUUGGUGGAGAUCUAUCAUGCAAAAACCUAGGUGACACAUCUUUGGAAGCACUGGUGUCCUGCAGAGCUGGACAUCCACACAAGGAUUUCUGCCUCUUUAACCAAACUGCUCCUGGACCGUGUGUGUGCUCACUUCCUCACCAUGUAGGUAAGUCUAUACCCUUUGCUUUGAGAGAGAAACUGUGAUUAACCACGAGCACGUUGCAUCCUUGUUUGUCUGGAGAACAGUGAUUUUCCAUUUUAUUGCUUCCUGUGUGACACAUUUUGUUAGACUCCUGUCAGCUCUUCUUCUCACUGCAUUUGUUUCCUGAUGUGUGUGUAAUUACAACCAUGAAAGUCCAUCAGCAAAAGCGCCAUCAAUCUGAGAGAUUAACGAAUCUCACGCUUUCCCUCUCUCCUCCCCCCAAAAUUAGAAAGCCCCCUCUGUAUUUUCCAGUACACAUCUAUCAUUACACACUCCUGGGUCUCAGGUAAAUUAGCAACCUGAUUCUUUUCCCUGCUGUCACUUAGAAGAAAAGGGCUUCUUAUUUGCCAUCCAAGGAAAAGUACAGUAAACCUAGAACUAGAUAAAAGGGAAGUAAUCAAAUAUAUUUAACUGUAUUCAGCCAAAUCCCAUUAUUUGUAUAGAUGUUAGCUGGUGCAUUUGAAGAAUUAGGGAAGCCUUGUAUUUUAUAGGAAAUUGUACUGCUUGAUUGAAAACUGCAAUAUCUGUGCUACUGUUCCUCUGCUUACUUGAAAUGAGAAGUUCAGCAUUAUGUAGAGAUAUAUUUAUGCAUGUACAGUAGAUAUUUAAAAAGGGGUUUCAUGUCCUUGCUCUUCCACUAAGCACGUACAUUUGGGGUGAGGACAGCAUCCUUCUGUGUUUCUUUCAGAGAUGGGAAAUGCCUCAUCAGCGUGGGAAUGUUCCAUGGAUUGUCCUUCUCGCUUCUACCUGAAAGAUGUGGAGAAAAUAAUUUUAGAUAAGUCACCUCCUACACAUCUGAGGGAAUCAACUCCCUGGAGUGUGAGGAACAGCUUAUGGGGUGUAGGGAUAAUGUAGGGGUAGGCUGAGCAGCCAUGGGGAAGGAACAUUCUGGGAGUAUCCCAUGGAGAUUAUAACCAUGGUGAGGCUGUAGGAGGGCACAGAAAAGCUUCAGCUGGUGGUGGGAACCCAGGUUUGAAAAUACAUGGACAACAUGACAGCAGUGCCUGUGCAAGGGGUGCUCCUUCCCUCGGCAGCUGGCUCUGUGGGAAAGGGGGAAUGCGCCACCUCUAGACGGCUGCAGUCGGUGGUCACCAGACCUUCCCCUUUGGAAACCCCUCCGGGGCCAAGCCAGAGGGUGCACAGCUACUUGGAAAAUAUACCCAAACCCAGCUCCUCAUCCUUAUCCACAGCACCAAAUUAUCUUUCAGGUGUCCCUGUGCAAACAGUAUGAGUUUCAAUGUGAAAAUGUUUGAUUAAGGUGUUCCAACACAAGCACUGAAAUUCAGGUCCAUGGAUUGAGGGAAAGGUUCUCCUGAACUGUGUUCAUGCCAGCACACAGCUUUUCUCAGCUCAGUUUUGUGCUCAGAAGCACUGUUUUGUGUGCUAUGCAUCCAGGGGUUCUUCAGGAUGAUGACCCAGCUCACCCUCAUGACAAUGGGCAUAGCAAGAUGAGGCACAUUUUGAUCCCAGAUUCCAGUUUUAUUUUGCUUGUAUGAAACAUCACAACUCAAUAUUGUUUCAGAACUUUGGGGAGAAGGAGGAAGCAGACAAGAGUCCCCACAAUGUUUUUUUUACAUGCCUGAGUCAAAUUACCCUCCCUUCUGCGGGGCUUCUUCUGAAGUAACAGAUCGUACUGUAACCAAAUAUUGCCGUCCAGGAAAGCCAUUUUCCAUCCAGCAAGGAGGCUUCUUCCUUCCCAGCAGCCACUGAAAAGGGCCUUUGUUCUCAGGCUGAACACCUGGAGGGAGUUAUCAGCAGUGGCCUCUGGGGCCGGCGCGCGGAGCAGCUGUGACAAGACCCAGUGGCUUUGGCCUCAGGAGCGUCAGCAGCACCUGGCAGCUGCUGGCACCCAAAAAUCCUCCUGUCUGGGCCAUUGCAUGGCCAGCUUUGGGUGUUCCUCUCUUCUGUAGGGACCAGGGUCUGUAUUUUCUUUCUUUUCCCAUCCUAAUGAACAGGCUCACUCCACUUGGUCUCUGGAUAACCUCAACCAUCUGACACCUCUGUAGGGAAUGGAGAAUAGCCUUGGCAUUGUCUGGAGACACUGGUGGUGUGAGAGGUGAAAAGCCGGCACAGAGCACCAACAUCCUGGGCACAUGGUUUGACACUACACCUCAGUGAGUAAAAGGUGGAAUUGUUGCCUGGCAUGAGGGUAGGACAUUCAGCAGAGAGGGGGCCACCUGAUGUGACCAAGGGCCAGAUUGCACAGCAGAUGAUGUGACCCUGGGCACAGCUUUCUGCUCUCUCCACACAGUCAGCACCACUUCUGUCUGUGUCCAUGGAAAGACAGACCCACAACUGCUCAGAAACUCAAGAAAACCCAACUCAUUUGGCCCAUCAGGCAAUUCCCUGGAGUUAGAACACUGUGUAAACCAUCACUGCCAGAGACAUCAGCUUCAAAAUCAAAAAGUUUUCAUUCUCUCACUGGAUUUUACAGGAUCUGAAGAAAAAUUUGUGAGGAAAGAUAGAGUCAGAAAGCAGAGUUGUCAGUGGAUCUGCCAUGGGGUAACCUGGAGAGCUGUUGACCUGAACUCGUACUGGGUCUGUGAGGGGUUUUACCAAUGGCCUCAGUGGGAAUUGUAUCUGCAGCCUAGGAGUUUUGCAGGUCUACACCUACAGACCUUUCUCAUUGUGUUGAUUUUCCACUGAAGCCAGAUAGUCCAGAUCACAAAAAAUUACCCCCAAAACCCCAACAUAAUUCUUAUUUUCCUGAUAACCCAGAUAAAGUUUUGACUCCUACAAGGGAGUCAUACACAGGAGGAUUUUAACAAUGCCUCAUCAUAAGAUGCACAGCUCUGCAAAGUAUCUGUUCUGAAGCAGUUCUGCCAAAUACCAAGAGAAAAUUGCAUAACAUGAGAAGGAGCAAACCGCAGCUGAAGCUUCAUCAUCCACAGUGGCAGCUGACCGUGGACGUCACGAGUUCUUCCAUACCCAAUGGCAUAAUUUCCAUUUUCUUUGGACUGUAGUAGUGAAAGAAUAAACAUUUCAAAAGGUUCA
This 4004-nucleotide long non-coding RNA is filed under the name Zonotrichia albicollis (white-throated sparrow). RNAcentral describes it as "lncRNA (ENSZALG00000005828.1)". Lineage: Eukaryota; Metazoa; Chordata; Aves; Passeriformes; Passerellidae. The record is from RNAcentral.